AGCGAACGCUGGCGGCAUGCCUAACACAUGCAAGUCGCACGGGGGGGCUUCGGCCUCCCAGUGGCGGACGGGUGAGGAACGCGUAGGGACCUGUCGAGGGGUGGGGGGUAACCGCGGGAAACUGCGGCUAAUACCGCAUGACGCCGCGGCGUGACAGCCGGGGCCAAAGGCGAAAGCCGCCCGCCGAGGGGCCUGCGUCCGAUUAGCUGGUUGGCGGGGUAGCGGCCCACCAAGGCGUCGAUCGGUAGCUGGUCUGAGAGGGUGAUCAGCCACACCGGGACUGAGACACGGCCCGGACUCCUACGGGAGGCAGCAGUGGGGAAUAUUGGACAAUGGGCGCAAGCCUGAUCCAGCAAUGCCGCGUGGGUGAAGAAGGUCUUCGGAUUGUAAAGCCCUUUCGGCGGGGACGAUGGUGACGGUACCCGCAGAAGAAGCCCCGGCUAACUUCGUG
RNAcentral lists this ribosomal RNA (451 nucleotides) under uncultured bacterium. RNAcentral's name for it is "partial 16S ribosomal RNA". It matches the Rfam family "Bacterial small subunit ribosomal RNA", at positions 28 to 507 of the family's 1533-position model. The record is from RNAcentral.